This 449-nucleotide ribosomal RNA is filed under the name uncultured bacterium. Its description in RNAcentral is "partial 16S ribosomal RNA". It matches the Rfam family "Bacterial small subunit ribosomal RNA", at positions 338 to 795 of the family's 1533-position model. The record is from RNAcentral.
CCUACGGGUGGCUGCAGUGGGGAAUUUUGGACAAUGGGGGCAACCCUGAUCCAGCCAUGCCGCGUGAGUGAAGAAGGCCUUCGGGUUGUAAAGCUCUUUCGGCCGGGAAGAAAUCGCUCAAGCUAAUACCUUGGGUGGAUGACGGUACCGGAAGAAGAAGCACCGGCUAACUACGUGCCAGCAGCCGCGGUAAUACGUAGGGUGCGACCGUGAAUCGAGAGUACGCGGGGUAAAGCAUGAGACGGAUGCGAAAUCCCCGGGCUGAACCUGGGAACUGCGUUUGUGACUGUGGUGCUCGAGUGCGGCAGAGGGGGGUGGAAUUCCACGUGUAGCAGUGAAAUGCGUAGAGAUGUGGAGGAACACCGAUGGCGAAGGCAGCCCCCUGGGUCGACACUGACGCUCAUGCACGAAAGCGUGGGGAGCAAACAGGAUUAGAUACCCCGGUAGUC